UUAAAAGAUACCCAAGUGGAUGUCAGCUCAACAAUAUGUCCUUAUACAUUUACAAAAGCUACUUUCUGAUUAGGGCUUCCUUCCUUUCUGUAUACUAUUUCCCACACAAAAACUGGUAUGUUAUAUAAAAGUAAUUAGAAACCUGCUCACAGCUUCCUGACUACAUUCACAAGAGUUUAUAUUCUACUGGCUUCAACAAUAUAACUACUAACACAGAAAUUGCUCAUUUAAGAAGAUAAAAGUUCAAAAUAACUUUAUUGUUCAUUCCAAAAACUACUUGAAAGACCCACCAACUCUUCAAUAAAAAGUUCCAAAUGACAUUUUUCAACUCCAAGACCCUCUGAACUGUCUUAAAAUUCUUGCCUUUUGGUGUCCACUAAACCUAAACCAUUAUAUCACAAUUCUUACUCAAUCCUAAUCACACCCUGCCACCUCAAUGAAAGACCUGCUCUACACCAGACUUCAACAUCUAAAUAAAUAGCCCUCCUGCUCUGCCACCUCUGAGACUCUAAGAAAGCUCUGUCCAGAGAGUGCUUUCCUGGCAGUGUUAUGCAAUAAAAUCAGCUUUGCUUAUCAAGUUGUUUGGCUGAUAUUUGGGAAGUACAGUAUAUGAAGAUCAUAGUCACACCGCUGUACAUCAUGUCACAGAGGACUGAGCUGAGAUCCUAAGGCCAAUAUCUAUAGAUAUUACUGGACCAUACACUGACUGAAUGACAAUAAGUAUAUUCAGAGAAAUCAGUUACCAGUACAGUGAUUUGAAUGUGCAUUUCUCCAAGCAAAAAAAGAAACAGGUGAAUGUAUUCAUCCUACAGAUGUGAGCAAAGUCAUUGCCAGUAUGACAGAAAACCCAGAGGCAGAGAAAGAAACAGUUAAUCAAAGCAUGUAUUAAAAUAGGUAUUAAAAUCCUAUAAUAUCUAUUUCUAUCAUGGCCAUCUUUCUGAGACAUUCUCCACUAAGGGUAACCUGGGGCUGUCACCAGUCUGUGGAUGCAUAAGAAAGACUGGGUUGGAGGGAAAGAAACAAAAAAGAAAAAACACUUUUAAAAUUUUUUUUCAAAAACCCACUCUUCCAGCCCCCUUUCUCGUCCUCAGGACACCUUGCAGUUCAGGCUUUCAGCCUCAGUGGCAUAAAAAGUUCAGUAUGUACAGCACACCUUCAGCCAGAGCACAUGCGCGGGGCGUGUGCCCAUUGUUGCGCAUGCGCCUUGCUGUGCACUUUCCGUUGGCAGAGCUGGGCCAGUGUUGGACGUGUUCAUCUCUUCUGUUCUUUCUGACUAGUGAAACUCAGCAGUGUGAAAUAUGAGUGGGCAUGUGAGAUCGAGAUCCAUACCUGAAGGAAGACAAGAUGAUCAAGAAUCUUACCAGCCAUAUAGCAAUGCCCAGCAGCCCAGUGAUGAGCAACCUCAACAGGAGGAACCACCAUCUAAGAGUCAGGACAUUACACCUGAUCAAGAGAAAGAGGAUGGAGGAGCACCUGUGGUUCAAGGGUCUGACCUGGAAACUGAUCUCCAGAAACCAGCUCCAACAAAGACUGAGGGUAGGGGCAGAGAUAAUCCUGCUGUCAGGGAGGAGAUUCCAUUAUGUUCUGAGCCCAUUAGAGUGCUGGAAGGAGGUGAAGGGGAGCCACAGGUUUAAACAAAAAACAAGCUGAAGGCAUGCAAACUGUUCUUAAGCUGGAUAUUUGACUAUUAAAAUUCUCUCAAUAAAGUUUCACAACUUUCUCCAAA
Molecule: non-coding RNA, 1726 nt
Organism: Sus scrofa (pig)
Lineage: Eukaryota; Metazoa; Chordata; Mammalia; Artiodactyla; Suidae
Source: RefSeq, a predicted model, not a curated record